GUGCCAUGCGCGAUAUGCACUGGUCAGUCUAAUACGACAGUUAAGAAAGACGUUCACAAAACAUGGAGCUCAUAUCAUAUGAUUCUAUGAGAACAAGAAAGGCGACAGCGUUGUUUCUAUUAAUUCAAAUGGAACAAGAAGAGCAGCUAUUACAGGCUCGGGAUUUACUUUUACAAGUAAAAUAUUAUUUUUUGUCAAUUUUUCAUAUCAAGUAACAUAAUGAAAAUCAUAAACGCGCCUCGUACACCAACACUGCAGGUACACAUAUAUAGGGAAACCAACUUUUUCUUCAUUAUUCUGAUUUUUUAUGUAUCGUCUGAGUUGUUGUCACACGAAUGUUUACUCCAUAACCAUUUUGUUUUGUAUAUGACAUAUUUUGCCGCUUUUGUUGCUUUCCACACAUCCUUCCUUUUGUCUAUAUUAUUAUGAUAUUCUCCUGGGAAGAGCUCUUUUUGAAUAAAAGGGAUCAACGAACCCAUUACCUUACCUUUAAGAUAGAUCAGUAAACAUGGGCCUAAUUAUGGGUGAUUAUUCAGACUAGUGCAUACAUUU
This 552-nucleotide long non-coding RNA is filed under the name Mytilus galloprovincialis (Mediterranean mussel). The record is from RNAcentral. Lineage: Eukaryota; Metazoa; Mollusca; Bivalvia; Mytilida; Mytilidae.